RNAcentral lists this ribosomal RNA (426 nucleotides) under uncultured bacterium. RNAcentral describes it as "bacterial SSU rRNA". It matches the Rfam family "Bacterial small subunit ribosomal RNA", at positions 354 to 796 of the family's 1533-position model. The record is from RNAcentral.
GUGAGGAAUUUUCCGCAAUGGGCGAAAGCCUGACGGAGCAAUGCCGCGUGAAGGAUGAAGGCCUAUGGGUUGUAAACUUCUUUUCUCAGAAAAGAAUUAUGACGGUAUCUGAGGAAUAAGCAUCGGCUAACUCUGUGCCAGCAGCCGCGGUAAGACAGAGGAUGCAAGCGUUAUCCGGAAUGAUUGGGCGUAAAGCGUCUGUAGGUGUUUUAAAAAGUAUUCUGUCAAAGAUUAGGGCUUAACCCUAGAUAGGCAGAAUAAACUUUUAAGCUAGAGGUUGGUAGAGGCAGAGGGAAUUCCCGGUGGAGCGGUGAAAUGCGUAGAUAUCGGGAGGAACACCAAAGGCGAAGGCACUCUGCUGGGCCAAUACUAACACUGAGAGACGAAAGCGAGGGGAGCAAAUGGGAUUAGAAACCCUUGUAGUCC